RNAcentral lists this ribosomal RNA (1207 nucleotides) under metagenome. RNAcentral's name for it is "bacterial SSU rRNA". It matches the Rfam family "Bacterial small subunit ribosomal RNA", at positions 298 to 1520 of the family's 1533-position model. The record is from RNAcentral.
GGGUGAACGGCCACAUUGGAACUGAGAGACGGUCCAAACUCCUACGGGAGGCAGCAGUGGGGAAUAUUGGGCAAUGGGGGGAACCCUGACCCAGCAACGCCGCGUGAGGGAAGAAGGUUUUCGGAUUGUAAACCUCUGUUCUUGGAGAAGAGUGUAAGACGGUAUCCAAGGAGGAAGCCCCGGCUAACUACGUGCCAGCAGCCGCGGUAAUACGUAGGGGGCGAGCGUUGUCCGGAAUGAUUGGGCGUAAAGGGCGCGCAGGCGGCCCGACAAGUCAGUAGUGGAAGUCCAUUUUUCAAGGGUGGAAGUGCUAUUGAAACUGUAGGGCUUGAGUGCGGGAGAGGUUAUCGGAAUUCCCGGUGUAGCGGUGAAAUGCGUAGAGAUCGGGAGGAACACCAGUGGCGAAGGCGGGUAACUGGACCGCAACUGACGCUGAGGCGCGAAAGUGUGGGGAGCAAACAGGAUUAGAUACCCUGGUAGUCCACACGGUAAACGAUGAAUGCUAGGUGUAGGGGGUAUCGACCCCUUCUGUGCCGCAGUAAACACAGUAAGCAUUCCGCCUGGGGAGUACGGUCGCAAGAUUAAAACUCAAAGGAAUUGACGGGGGCCCGCACAAGCAGCGGAGCAUGUGGUUUAAUACGAAGCAACGCGAAGAACCUUACCAGGUCUUGACAUCCAGGUAAAGCCGCAGAGAUGCGGUGUGUGCUUGCACGAUCUGAGACAGGUGGUGCAUGGUUGUCGUCAGCUCGUGUCGUGAGAUGUUGGGUUAAGUCCCGCAACGAGCGCAACCCUUGCCGAUAGUUACUAACGGGUAGAGCCGAGGACUUUAUCGGGACCGCCGGGGACAACUCGGAGGAAGGUGGGGACGACGUCAAAUCAUCAUGCCCCUUAUGACCUGGGCUACACACGUGCUACAAUGGCCGAGACAGAGAGAUGCGAAGGCGCGAGCCGGAGCGGACCUCAGAAAAGCGGUCACAGUUCGGAUUGCGGGCUGCAACCCGCCCGCAUGAAGCAGGAGUUGCUAGUAAUCGCGAAUCAGCAUGUCGCGGUGAAUACGUUCCCGGGCCUCGUACACACCGCCCGUCACACCAUGGGAGUUGGUAGCACCCGAAGGUAGAGAGGUAACCGCGAGGGGCCAUCUGACGAAGGUGAGAUCAAUGACUGGGGUGAAGUCGUAACAAGGUAGCCGUAUCGGAAGGUGCGGCUG